Molecule: ribosomal RNA, 403 nt
Filed under: uncultured bacterium
Lineage: Bacteria
Description: partial 16S ribosomal RNA
Rfam family: Bacterial small subunit ribosomal RNA
Source: RNAcentral
GACGAACGCUGGCGGCGUGCCUAAUACAUGCAAGUCGAACGCAGUGGGGACGGGUGAGUAACACGUGGGUAACCUCCCAUCAGAGGGGAUAACACUUGGAAACAGGUGCUAAACCGAUACUGAUGGAUGGACCCGCGGUGGAUUAGCUAGGUGGUGGGGUAACGGCUCACCAAGGCCACGAUGCAUAGCUGGUCUGAGAGGGUGAGCGGCCACACUGUAACUGAGACAAGGCCCAGACUCCUACGGGAGGCAGCAGUAGGGAAUAUUCGGCAAUGGGCGAAAGUCUGACCGAGCAACGCCGCGUGUGUGAAGAAGGUUUUCGGAUCGUAAAACUCUGUUGGUAGAGAAGCGGUAUCUAACCAGAAAGCCACGGCUAACUACGUGCCAGCAGCCGCGGUAAUAC